AUUGAACGCUGGCGGCAGGCCCAACACAUGCAAGUCGAACGGUAACAGGAAGCAGCUUGCUGCUUUGCUGACGAGUGGCGGACGGGUGAGUAAUGUCUGGGAAACUGCCUGAUGGAGGGGGAUAACUACUGGAAACGGUAGCUAAUACCGCAUAACGUCGCAAGACCAAAGAGGGGGACCUUCGGGCCUCUUGCCAUCGGAUGUGCCCAGAUGGGAUUAGCUAGUAGGUGGGGUAACGGCUCACCUAGGCGACGAUCCCUAGCUGGUCUGAGAGGAUGACCAGCCACACUGGAACUGAGACACGGUCCAGACUCCUACGGGAGGCAGCAGUGGUGAAUAUUGCACAAUGGGCGCAAGCCUGAUGCAGCCAUGCCGCGUGUAUGAAGAAGGCCUUCGGGUUGUAAAGUACUUUUGGCGGGGAGGAAGGGAGUCAAGUUAAUACCUUUGCUCAUUGACGUUACCCGCAGAAGAAGCACCGGCUAACUCCGUG
Molecule: ribosomal RNA, 490 nt
Filed under: uncultured bacterium
Lineage: Bacteria
Description: partial 16S ribosomal RNA
Rfam family: Bacterial small subunit ribosomal RNA
Source: RNAcentral